GGUGUUGGGGGGAGAGGUGGGGGUGGGGCGCGGGGGCGUGGUCCAGGCCCUGAGGGGUGGGCGGGCUGAGGCCGAAGCCGCAGUGACCGCGGUACCAAUGCGGGGUACGCGAGUCACCGAAGAGACUGGACGCAGAAACCAGAGAGAGGCUGAUGGCAUCGCGGCCCCCUUCCGCCCCCGCGCCCCACGCGGCACCGCCCUCCUCCACGCGCCUCUCAGUCCCCUUGGCGCCGCGCGGCCUGCCGGGCUCUCCAUGGCCUCCCUGGCAUCUGCGCCUCGCACCUUCCCUCCCGCCGCGCUGGAGGCUGCACGGAAGGCAGUCUGCUGCAUGAGAAUGGAGACCCGCCUGCUUCACUCCCUGCAGUGCCCAGUGUCUGGAUCCCACCCAGCACACAGUAGGGCCUCAGUGAAUGUGUGCUGAGUGUGUAAACGCCGUAGGCCACUGACAAGCAUCUUCCCUGAAGUGAUGAAACAGCCCUGUCCACGGCGCCCUGCUCCUCCGCUCCUGACCCCCGUGGUGUGGCCCCGCGUGGUGUGGCCCCCCCCGUGGUGUGGCCCCGCGUGGUGUGGCCCCGCGUGGGGUGCCAUCCUGUCUCCAGUCCGGUGAGUAGAAGCUGCCUUUUCAAUGGCAGUUGUCCCUGAUCUUUUGGCCUUCCUGAACCUCAGGUUUCCUGCUAAUAUAAUCUAUUUCACACCAGGCUGCGAGACACUUUGCAGACAGUCAGAGUAGACAAAUGAAGAACAAGUGUCCCGUGUACCUUUUUCAGCAUCGUCAACGAGUUUAAUAUUUUAAUGUAGAUUAGAAUUCCUUUUCCCCAUAAAGUCACAAGCUCCUUGAGG
Molecule: non-coding RNA, 840 nt
Organism: Vicugna pacos (alpaca)
Lineage: Eukaryota; Metazoa; Chordata; Mammalia; Artiodactyla; Camelidae
Source: RefSeq, a predicted model, not a curated record